GGGGGGUCCCCCUGGGCCGGCUGCAGCUCACGCUCUGGUACCCCACCGCGACGAGCACAAGCUGGUGGCCAUCGUCCACGCCUGCAGGAAGCUGAAGGCGGGUGUCGAAGGAGCUGCCGGACCCCUACGUGUCCCUGGUGCUGCUGCCCGACCGCAGCCGCGGCACCAAGAGGAAGACCACCGUGCAGAAGAAGACCCUCAACCCCGACUUCAAUGAGAGGUUCGAGUGGGACGUGUCCCUUGAGGAAGCCUCGCGGCGCAAGCUGGAAGCCCACGUCAAAUCCACCGUGUCCUUCAUGUCGCGGGAGAAGGAGGUGCUGGGGAAG
Falco peregrinus (peregrine falcon) is the source of this 326-nucleotide long non-coding RNA. RefSeq lists it as uncharacterized. The record is from RefSeq and is a predicted model, not a curated record. Lineage: Eukaryota; Metazoa; Chordata; Aves; Falconiformes; Falconidae. The transcript is spliced from 3 exons.